UAACGCGUGAGGAACCUGCCUCAAAGAGGGGGGCAACAGUUGGAAACGACUGCUAAUACCUCAUAAGCCCACAGCUCGGCAUCGAGCAGAGGGAAAAGGAGUGAUCCGCUUUGAGAUGGCCUCGCGUCCGAUUAGCUAGUUGGUGAGGUAAUGGCCCACCAAGGCGACGAUCGGUAGCCGGACUGAGAGGUUGAACGGCCACAUUGGGACUGAGACACGGCCCAG
This 225-nucleotide ribosomal RNA is filed under the name uncultured bacterium. RNAcentral describes it as "partial 16S ribosomal RNA". It matches the Rfam family "Bacterial small subunit ribosomal RNA", at positions 111 to 334 of the family's 1533-position model. The record is from RNAcentral.